Molecule: ribosomal RNA, 253 nt
Filed under: uncultured bacterium
Lineage: Bacteria
Description: partial 16S ribosomal RNA
Rfam family: Bacterial small subunit ribosomal RNA
Source: RNAcentral
UGCGUAGGGUGCAAGCGUUGUCCGGAAUUAUUGGGCGUAAAGAGCUCGUAGGCGGUCUGUCGCGUCUGCUGUGAAAACUCGGGGCUUAACUCCGGGCCUGCAGUGGGUACGGGCAGACUAGGGUGCGGUAGGGGAGACUGGAAUUCCUGGUGUAGCGGUGAAAUGCGCAGAUAUCAGGAGGAACACCGAUGGCGAAGGCAGGUCUCUGGGCCACUACUGACGCUGAGAAGCGAAAGCAUGGGGAGCGAACAGG